GCUGGGUGUGGUGGCGCAUGCCUGUAAUCCCAACUACUCAGGAGGCUGAGGCAGGAGAAUCGCUUGAACCUGGGAGGCAGAGGUUGCAGUGAGCCCAGAUUGUGCCACUGCACUCCAGCCUGGGUGACAGAGCGAGACUCCGUCUCAA
RNAcentral lists this non-coding RNA (148 nucleotides) under Gorilla gorilla gorilla (western lowland gorilla). The record is from Rfam by way of RNAcentral. Lineage: Eukaryota; Metazoa; Chordata; Mammalia; Primates; Hominidae.